Long non-coding RNA from Hippocampus comes (tiger tail seahorse), 1002 nucleotides. RefSeq lists it as uncharacterized. The transcript is spliced from 2 exons. NCBI's taxonomy places the organism in Eukaryota, Metazoa, Chordata, Actinopteri, Syngnathiformes, Syngnathidae. The record is from RefSeq and is a predicted model, not a curated record.
ACUUCCAGCAGCUCUUCCGGAUCCGGGGAUGAGUACCUGGAAGUGACUGCCAGGGAGUACUACCGGCUACAACGGCCAGAAAAACGCAGACAAGCGUCCAUCACGGAUUUCUUCAAGGUGAAGAGGAGGCGGCUUCUACAUUAUAAGGGCUCAUCCCGGCAGUAGGAGCGCCGCGUCGACCACGUGUACAUAUGUAGCAUUGAAUACAUAUAUUCGAUAUACUGUUUUCUUCGGCUUUUUCGCUAUACUGUGAAAUGAUAUAUUACGUGCACUCUUACGGACAACAAACGGACCGGGGAGAGGAUUUUUCAAGCGGCGAGCUCGCCUUGCCUCUCGUAAGAAGUUUUGAUAAGAUGAGUUCCUCUUCCUGGCCCCCCGUGCCACACGGCGUCGUCGUUUCACACCCCCACCACGAGGUCAAAACCUCACCCGGGGUAUAAAAAAAAAAAAAAUCGAAAUAGCGCGCUAUUAAUUUGCUCCAGGUUUGUUUGAGAUCAAUGGUGGAGGUUCAACGAUGAGGUCAUGUGGUUUGACGAAUAAUUCCAAUCGUAAUAAUCAUGACUAUUUAUUUAUUUUUACACGAUGCUAGAUCGUAUUGAAAAAAAAAAAGACCCACAAUGUGUAAAACGACGUAAAAGAAGAUGUUUGUGGAUCCGCGUGCCAUCGCCCCCAAAAUUGUGUGAUUAUGACUCCACCGUUGCCACGAGGAAAUUUCUAUUCAACAACACGACGCAAAAAAAAAAUCACACUCUGUACUCGCUUCUAACUUUGUAUUCUUCACCUUAAGGGGUAUAUAACAACAUCUUUUGCAUUUUGGCGGCAGUCCAAGACAAACCUUACUUAGUUUUGGGUUAUUUCCAGCUUGACGCUUUUGAAUCAUGUAGCAUGGAAAAUGUAAAUGGUAUGUUCUCUGUUGAAGAUUUUACCCGCAAACUACACGAUUCAAAUUUAUGGUUUUAAAAGCUAUAAGUUGGAUGAACCCCUCACUACCUCAAAUACACA